GGAAGUAAAAGUCGUAAACAAGGUCUCCGUUGGUGAACCAGCGGAGGGAUCAUUACAGAGUUGCAAAACUCCCUAAACCAUUGUGAACGUUACCUAUACCGUUGCUUCGGCGGGCGGCCCCGGGGUUUACCCCCCGGGCGCCCCUGGGCCCCACCGCGGGCGCCCGCCGGAGGUCACCAAACUCUUGAUAAUUUAUGGCCUCUCUGAGUCUUCUGUACUGAAUAAGUCAGAACUUUCAACAACGGAUCUCUUGGUUCUGGCAUCGAUGAAGAACGCAGCGAAAUGCGAUAAGUAAUGUGAAUUGCAGAAUUCAGUGAAUCAUCGAAUCUUUGAACGCACAUUGCGCCCGCCAGCAUUCUGGCGGGCAUGCCUGUUCGAGCGUCAUUUCAACCAUCAAGCCCCCGGGCUUGUGUUGGGGACCUGCGGCUGCCGCAGGCCCUGAAAAGCAGUGGCGGGCUCGCUGUCGCACCGAGCGUAGUAGCAUACAUCUCGCUCUGGUCGCGCCGCGGGUUCCGGCCGUUAAACCACCUUUUAACCCAAGGUUGACCUCGGAUCAGGUAGGAAGACCCGCUGAACUUAAGCAUAUCAAUAAGCGGAGGAAAAGAAACCAACAGGGAUUGCCUUAGUAACG
This 631-nucleotide ribosomal RNA is filed under the name uncultured Ascomycota. Its description in RNAcentral is "partial 18S ribosomal RNA". The stretch from base 231 to 384 matches the Rfam family "5.8S ribosomal RNA". The record is from RNAcentral. Lineage: Eukaryota; Fungi; Ascomycota.